UUGCUAUCUAUUGCGAACAAAAGAGUAUCCAAGUGAUUCUAACCUCUUGGAAAUUAUUAUAUAGCAAGGCCAAUUAGUGUUAUACAAAAUACAAAGAAGAACUUGAACAUUUCUUAAAAAUGAAUUUUUAGAGAAUUAUUAGCAUACUACGCUAAUAAAUACAACAGUAAUUAACACCAAUUGGUUUAGUAGACAUUAUAAUCCUAAUAAUCAUGAAAAAAGUUUGUCCUGAAUAGAUGGACAAUGGUUUGACACGUUCAUACAUCUUCAUCGGGCCAAAUAGGAUAGACCACGCAAAAAGCAGCUAAUCGUAUAUACUGCUAAAGUUAAAAGUCUGAGUGAUUAGCCCUGAAACAAUGGUGUGGCAAGACGAUUAAUCAUUCGGUAAAAGAGGGACCAAGAAGUAGACAGAGGAACAAAAGACAAGGAGAAAAUGUUCGAUGCGGAAUAGAAAGAGGUCAAAUGUGUAGUAGACUCAUCAUCAUCAUCACUGGCACGCCGAUUCUAAAACGAGACCUCUCCUUGGGGAGUUUGCUCAUUGCACACUGAAAUAACCACACACUCUUUUCUCGUCCUCGUUUUAUAAUUCACAAGUACCGAUUAAACUUAACAAAGUUUUUAUUUGUGUACUUUUUGGUUAACACUUCACCAAAACACCAGAGAUAUUGUGAUCAAUUUAUAAAACACGACUUACGAAAGACAUUAACGAAUUCUUACAUUUUAAGAACGGUCUGCUUUUAUU
This is a long non-coding RNA of Daktulosphaira vitifoliae (grape phylloxera), 742 nucleotides long. RefSeq lists it as uncharacterized. The record is from RefSeq and is a predicted model, not a curated record. The transcript has 3 exons. Lineage: Eukaryota; Metazoa; Arthropoda; Insecta; Hemiptera; Phylloxeridae.